CCCGGACUUAACCUCAAUUGCAGAAAGAAUUUUCCAGGGUGGGGUUUUGCCAAAUUUUCUGAGAUGGUCAAUGGGAAAAAAGAAUGCAUAAACUUGUCAUGAGAAGUGAGACAGGGACGGUAACUUUAGUUGUGCACAGUCUCAGCCUUAAAAGUCCAGGGGAUAGUGGAUCGAGGGCAAAUAGUCACGGAAGCUGAAGCAAGGCUGGCGUACUCCGGGAAAGACGCUAGACGGCGCUGCUGGGACGCACUUUCUCCCGGGAAAGGACUGGGAGUUGGAGAAAACGGGCGGGGCUGUCCUGUCUGGCUGCUCUGGAAGCCACCGUCUUCCCUACGCCUCCUCGGAGCCCCUCGCCUUCGGGCAGCCUCCCUUGUCGCCUGGGAAUCUUGAGCCCGGGCUCUCUGCAACCCAGUUCUCUAUCUCAUUCUGGACCGCGAUCGCCCCGACAUGGAACGGCACGCUUGAGCCCCGCUGGACGCCCCGGCUGUUUUGCAAGACUCAGACAGCUGCCAAGGAAAGUGAACGAUGAAGCCACCAUUUCUUUUGGCUCUUGUAGUCAGUUCUGUAGUCAGCACAAAUUUGAAGAUGGUGUCAAAGAGAAAUUCUGGUAAGUGGUUGGCAACUUCUCAUGAUUUGGUCAAAAAUAUGUGCUUUUUUGUGAGCAUCUAGAGAGCAUCUGUGUCUUUAACUAUGAAUAUCUUUAAACAGAAUCACUUGUAAUCCAGCUAUGUUGGAAAGUAGCCAAGGCAAAAAUGAGAUUUUAGCCUACCACUGAGAAAAUGUUGGGAAACCAGUGGAAUUUUGUUCAAUUUCAAUGGC
Molecule: long non-coding RNA, 819 nt
Filed under: Capra hircus (goat)
Lineage: Eukaryota; Metazoa; Chordata; Mammalia; Artiodactyla; Bovidae
Description: lncRNA (ENSCHIG00010029242.1)
Source: RNAcentral